This 99-nucleotide microRNA precursor is filed under the name Mustela putorius furo (domestic ferret). Its description in RNAcentral is "miRNA (ENSMPUG00000022097.1)". The record is from RNAcentral. Lineage: Eukaryota; Metazoa; Chordata; Mammalia; Carnivora; Mustelidae.
AUCACUUGAGGGUCUUGUUGAAAUGCAGGGUAUGAUUCAGUAGGUCUGGAGUGGGGUCUGAGAUUCUGAAUUUCUAACAAGUUCCCAGGUGAUGCUAAU